CCUACGGGGGGCAGCAGUGGGGAAUAUUGCACAAUGGGCGCAAGCCUGAUGCAGCCAUGCCGCGUGUAUGAAGAAGGCCUUCGGGUUGUAAAGUACUUUCAGUAGGGAGGAAGGUGGUUAAGUUAAUACCUUAAUCAUUUGACGUUACCUACAGAAGAAGCACCGGCUAACUCCGUGCCAGCAGCCGCGGUAAUACGGAGGGUGCAAGCGUUAAUCGGAAUUACUGGGCGUAAAGCGCAUGCAGGUGGUUUGUUAAGUCAGAUGUGAAAGCCCUGGGCUC
This 280-nucleotide ribosomal RNA is filed under the name uncultured bacterium. Its description in RNAcentral is "partial 16S ribosomal RNA". It matches the Rfam family "Bacterial small subunit ribosomal RNA", at positions 338 to 610 of the family's 1533-position model. The record is from RNAcentral.